AUUGAACGCUGGCGGCAUGCCUUACACAUGCAAGUCGAACGGUAACGGGCCUUCGGGUGCCGACGAGUGGCGAACGGGGGAGUAAUACAUCGGAACGUGCCCGAUCGUGGGGGAUAACGAGGCGAAAGCUUUGCUAAUACCGCAUACGAUCUACGGCUGAAAGCAGGGGACCGCAAGGCCUUGCGCGGACGGAGCGGCCGAUGGCAGAUUAGGUAGUUGGUGGGAUAAAAGCUUACCAAGCCGACGAUCUGUAGCUGGUCUGAGAGGAUGAUCAGCCACACUGGGACUGAGACACGGCCCAGACUCCUACGGGAGGCAGCAGUGGGGAAUUUUGGACAAUGGGCGCAAGCCUGAUCCAGCCAUGCCGCGUGCAGGAUGAAGGCCUUCGGGUUGUAAACUGCUUUUGUACGGAACGAAAAGCCUUCUUUUAAUACAGGAGGGUCAUGACGGUACCGUAAGAAUAAGCACCGGCUAACUACGUG
RNAcentral lists this ribosomal RNA (482 nucleotides) under uncultured bacterium. Its description in RNAcentral is "partial 16S ribosomal RNA". It matches the Rfam family "Bacterial small subunit ribosomal RNA", at positions 30 to 507 of the family's 1533-position model. The record is from RNAcentral.